Molecule: ribosomal RNA, 893 nt
Filed under: uncultured bacterium
Lineage: Bacteria
Description: bacterial SSU rRNA
Rfam family: Bacterial small subunit ribosomal RNA
Source: RNAcentral
CCCUUCGGGGUACUCGAGUGGCGAACGGGUGAGUAACACGUGGGUGAUCUGCCCUGCACUUUGGGAUAAGCCUGGGAAACUGGGUCUAAUACCGAAUAGGACCACGCGCUUCAUGGUGUGUGGUGGAAAGCUUUUGCGGUGUGGGAUGGGCCCGCGGCCUAUCAGCUUGUUGGUGGGGUAAUGGCCUACCAAGGCGACGACGGGUAGCCGGCCUGAGAGGGUGACCGGCCACACUGGGACUGAGAUACGGCCCAGACUCCUACGGGAGGCAGCAGUGGGGAAUAUUGCACAAUGGGCGCAAGCCUGAUGCAGCGACGCCGCGUGAGGGAUGACGGCCUUCGGGUUGUAAACCUCUUUCAAUAGGGACGAAGCGCAAGUGACGGUACCUAUAGAAGAAGCACCGGCCAACUACGUGCCAGCAGCCGCGGUAAUACGUAGGGUGCGAGCGUUGUCCGGAAUUACUGGGCGUAAAGAGCUCGUAGGUGGUUUGUCGCGUUGUUCGUGAAAACUCACAGCUUAACUGUGGGCGUGCGGGCGAUACGGGCAGACUAGAGUACUGCAGGGGAGACUGGAAUUCCUGGUGUAGCGGUGGAAUGCGCAGAUAUCAGGAGGAACACCGGUGGCGAAGGCGGGUCUCUGGGCAGUAACUGACGCUGAGGAGCGAAAGCGUGGGGAGCGAACAGGAUUAGAUACCCUGGUAGUCCACGCCGUAAACGGUGGGUACUAGGUGUGGGUUCCUUCCUUGGGAUCCGUGCCGUAGCUAACGCAUUAAGUACCCCGCCUGGGGAGUACGGCCGCAAGGCUAAAACUCAAAGGAAUUGACGGGGGCCCGCACAAGCGGCGGAGCAUGUGGAUUAAUUCNNUNCAACGCGAAAGACCUUANNNGGGUUUGA